This 600-nucleotide ribosomal RNA is filed under the name uncultured bacterium. RNAcentral describes it as "partial 16S ribosomal RNA". The stretch from base 1 to 435 matches the Rfam family "Bacterial small subunit ribosomal RNA", at positions 115 to 539 of the family's 1533-position model. The record is from RNAcentral.
GUCUCGAGAAACUGCCUUGGAUGAGGGGGAUACUACUGGAAACGGUAGCUAAUACCCGCAUAACGUCGCAAGACCAAAGAGGGGGACCUUCGGGCCUCUUGCCAUCAGAUGUGCCCAGAUGGGAUUAGCUAUAGUGGGGUAACGGUCACCUAGCGAGAUCCCUAGCUGGUCUGAGAGGAUGACCAGCACACUGGAACUGAGACACGGUCCAGACUCCUACGGGAGGCAGCAGUGGGGAAUAUUGCACAAUGGGCGCAAGCCUGAUGCAGCAUGCCGCGUGUAUGAAGAAGGCCUUCGGGUUGUCAAAAGUACUUUCAGCGGGGAGGACAGGGGGGUUCGGGGGGGUUAAAUAAACCCAACAGGGCAAAUUUUGGGAACCGGUUUAACCCCCCGGAGAAAAGAAAGGCCACCCGGGGUUAAACUUUCCCGGUAGGCCCAAGCAGCCCGGCGGGUACAACUACACCGGGAAGGGGGUCUGCCCAAAACAGGGUUACAACACCGGGGACAAANAUUACCCUGGGGGGGCCGUCAAAANCGCCACACCGACCAAAGGGCCGGCCUUUNGGACAACAAUCCGGACAUCACUUCGAGCGAUACCCC